RNAcentral lists this ribosomal RNA (465 nucleotides) under uncultured bacterium. Its description in RNAcentral is "partial 16S ribosomal RNA". It matches the Rfam family "Bacterial small subunit ribosomal RNA", at positions 28 to 507 of the family's 1533-position model. The record is from RNAcentral.
GACGAACGCUGGCGGCGUGCUUAACACAUGCAAGUCGUACGGUAAGGCCCUUUCGGGGGUACACGAGUGGCGAACGGGUGCGUAACACGUGAGUAACCUGCCCACAACUUUGGGAUAACGCUAGGAAACUGGUGCUAAUACUGGAUAUGUGCUCCUGCUGCAUGGUGGGGGUUGGAAAGCUCCGGCGGUUGUGGAUGGACUCGCGGCCUAUCAGCUUGUUGGUGGGGUAGUGGCCUACCAAGGCGGCGACGGGUAGCCGGCCUGAGAGGGUGACCGGCCACAUUGGGACUGAGAUACGGCCCAGACGCCUACGGGAGGCAGCAGUGGGGAAUAUUGCACAAUGGGCGCAAGCCUGAUGCAGCAACGCCGCGUGCGGGAUGACGGCCUUCGGGUUGUAAACCGCUUUCAGCAGGGAAGAAGCUUUUUGUGACGGUACCUGCAGAAGAAGCACCGGCUAACUACGUG